This 343-nucleotide long non-coding RNA is filed under the name Equus caballus (horse). RNAcentral describes it as "lncRNA (ENSECAG00000042683.2)". The record is from RNAcentral. Lineage: Eukaryota; Metazoa; Chordata; Mammalia; Perissodactyla; Equidae.
CAGACAGAUGCUAGUCAGUGCGGGAAGCCAUUCCUGAUGACCUAAUCUACAGAAUGAAACCCCUCCCCCAUUGUUCUAUUUCAUAGCACCCUGUUCACAGUUUGUAAUUGUACACUCACCAGGUUGUUUACUUGAUUGACGGCUGUCUUCCUCGUGGAUCAUGAACUCUGUGAAAGCGGGAAUCAGAGCUGUUUUGCAGCAUGCCCAACAUCUAGGGGAGUACCGGGAAGCAGGAGGCAUUCAGUAAAUACUGAUGGAGUCAAUGUAUUAUACAUUAUAUUAUCUUAUAUAUAUAUUAUGCAAUAUAUAAUGUAUAUGUUCUAUGGAGUAAAUAUUAUGGAGU